AGUGAACGCUGGCGGUAGGCCUAACACAUGCAAGUCGAACGGCAGCACAGUAAGAGCUUGCUCUUACGGGUGGCGAGUGGCGGACGGGUGAGGAAUACAUCGGAAUCUACUUUUUCGUGGGGGAUAACGUAGGGAAACUUACGCUAAUACCGCAUACGACCUACGGGUGAAAGCAGGGGAUCUUCGGACCUUGCGCGAUUGAAUGAGCCGAUGUCGGAUUAGCUAGUUGGCGGGGUAAAGGCCCACCAAGGCGAGGAUCCGUAGCUGGUCUGAGAGGAUGAUCGGCCGCACUGGAAGGGAGACACGGUCCAGACUCCUACGGGAGGCAGCAGUGGGGAAUAUUGGACAAUGGGCGCAAGCCUGAUCCAGCCAUACCGCGUGGGUGAAGAAGGCCUUCGGGUUGUAAAGCCCUUUUGUUGGGAAAGAAAAGCAGCAGGUUAAUACCCCGCUGUUCUGACGGUACCCAAAGAAUAAGCACCGGCUAACUUCGUG
This 492-nucleotide ribosomal RNA is filed under the name uncultured bacterium. RNAcentral's name for it is "partial 16S ribosomal RNA". It matches the Rfam family "Bacterial small subunit ribosomal RNA", at positions 29 to 507 of the family's 1533-position model. The record is from RNAcentral.